This 835-nucleotide ribosomal RNA is filed under the name actinomycete 41922. RNAcentral's name for it is "bacterial SSU rRNA". It matches the Rfam family "Bacterial small subunit ribosomal RNA", at positions 63 to 901 of the family's 1533-position model. Lineage: Bacteria; Bacillati; Actinomycetota; Actinomycetes; Actinomycetales. The record is from RNAcentral.
CGAGCGGUAAGGCCCUUCGGGGUACACGAGCGGCGAACGGGUGAGUAACACGUGAGCAACCUGCCCCUGACUCUGGGAUAAGCGGUGGAAACGCCGUCUAAUACCGGAUACGACCCGCCACCUCAUGGUGGAGGGUGGAAAGUUUUUCGGUCAGGGAUGGGCUCGCGGCCUAUCAGCUUGUUGGUGGGGUAACGGCCUACCAAGGCGAUUACGGGUAGCCGGCCUGAGAGGGCGACCGGCCACACUGGGACUGAGACACGGCCCAGACUCCUGCGGGAGGCAGCAGUGGGGAAUAUUGCGCAAUGGGCGAAAGCCUGACGCAGCGACGCCGCGUGGGGGAUGACGGCCUUCGGGUUGUAAACCUCUUUUACCACCAACGCAGGCUUCCAGUUCUCUGGAGGUUGACGGUAGGUGGGGAAUAAGGACCGGCUAACUACGUGCCAGCAGCCGCGGUAAUACGUAGGGUCCGAGCGUUGUCCGGAAUUAUUGGGCGUAAAGAGCUCGUAGGCGGCGUGUCGCGUCUGCUGUGAAAGACCGGGGCUUAACUCCGGUUCUGCAGUGGAUACGGGCAUGCUAGAGGUAGGUAGGGGAGACUGGAAUUCCUGGUGUAGCGGUGAAAUGCGCAGAUAUCAGGAGGAACACCGGUGGCGAAGGCGGGUCUCUGGGCCUUACCUGACGCUGAGGAGCGAAAGCAUGGGGAGCGAACAGGAUUAGAUACCCUGGUAGUCCAUGCCGUAAACGUUGGGCGCUAGGUGUGGGGACUUUCCACGGUUUCCGCGCCGUAGCUAACGCAUUAAGCGCCCCGCCUGGGGAGUACGGCCGCAAGGCUAAAACU